AGCCUAUUAGCUCAGUUGGUUAGAGUGUCGUGCUAAUAACGUGAAAAUUAAAGGUUCGAGAAUUGUAUGGGCUU
RNAcentral lists this transfer RNA (74 nucleotides) under Zingiber officinale. Its description in RNAcentral is "tRNA-Ile". Lineage: Eukaryota; Viridiplantae; Streptophyta; Magnoliopsida; Zingiberales; Zingiberaceae. The record is from RNAcentral.